This 427-nucleotide ribosomal RNA is filed under the name uncultured bacterium. RNAcentral describes it as "bacterial SSU rRNA". It matches the Rfam family "Bacterial small subunit ribosomal RNA", at positions 354 to 796 of the family's 1533-position model. The record is from RNAcentral.
GUUGGGAAUCUUGCGCAAUGGGCGAAAGCCUGACGCAGCGACGCCGCGUGGGGGACGAAGGCUCUUGGGUCGUAAACCCCUUUUGCCGGGGAAGAAGUACUGACGGUACCCGGCGAAUAAGCCACGGCUAACUACGUGCCAGCAGCCGCGGUAAUACGUAGGUGGCAAGCGUUGUCCGGAUUUACUGGGCGUAAAGCGCGUGUAGGCGGCUCGUUAAGUCUGUCGUGAAAUCUCCCGGCUCAACCGGGAUAGGUCGACGGAUACUGGCGGGCUUGAGGGAUGCAGAGGAAGGUGGAAUUCCCGGUGUAGUGGUGAAAUGCGUAGAUAUCGGGAGGAACACCAGUGGCGAAGGCGGCCUUCUGGGCAUUUCCUGACGCUGAGACGCGAAAGCGUGGGGAGCGAACCGGAUUAGAUACCCCUGUAGUCC